Long non-coding RNA from Alnus glutinosa, 595 nucleotides. RefSeq lists it as uncharacterized. The record is from RefSeq and is a predicted model, not a curated record. Lineage: Eukaryota; Viridiplantae; Streptophyta; Magnoliopsida; Fagales; Betulaceae. The transcript is spliced from 3 exons.
AUGCACCUCCCUUCUCAAAUAAUUGGAAAGGCCAUUUGGCCUUUCCAAAGCAGAGGCCGAGCGCCUCUGCUGUUUAAAAAGUAAAAAAGAAGAAAAGAAAAAGGGUCAUUUGACCCGAGAGAAAAAGAAACAGAAGGAGAGGAUUUUUCUUUAAGGUUUUUCAUACAAAAAUCAUGAUCUACGAAGAUCCAACCGUCCAAACUCAAAUCCUAUUUCGGAAACGUGAUCUACGAAGCCCGAUCUACGUUUCUAUCGAUUGGUUUAAGGAUUUGUUGUGUGGAGCUUGCUAAACACUCUCCAAUUGUUGGAUUUACAUUUGGUGGAAUUUUUGGUUUAGUGGAUCUAAUGAAUGACGUCGUAGCAUAGUACUUGGGAUGUUGUGACUGAAGCCUGACGCGACAGUUAUAAUGGUUGGACCUUGGGUUGUCUGCCUUUUGGUAGACUUUGUUUAUGGCUCUUGUCGCAUAUGACACUUGUAUUUAUGAGCCAAUCUUUUGGUAUGUAUUUAAUAGCUAUGUAGAAGCCUUAAACAGAUAGACAUAUUAAUGGAUCUUUUGUUGUGAUUAAUUGUUGUUUAUGGAUGUACCUUUCGCUA